This 891-nucleotide long non-coding RNA is filed under the name Bemisia tabaci. Its description in RNAcentral is "lncRNA ENSSSA3NGG011871". The record is from RNAcentral. Lineage: Eukaryota; Metazoa; Arthropoda; Insecta; Hemiptera; Aleyrodidae.
ACGCAUGGAGCACAGGCUGUAAACCAACGCUGCAAUCACAAUCACAGAAUCAGUCAAUAUUUUCUUGUUUUUUUCGACGCAGAUUUCUUUAAUUGAUUAAAGUAAUGUGUGAAGUUAAGAGUGUUCAGAUUGAAAAAUCCAAAUUAAGUAGGAAUAAACUUUUUAUCUGGACAAUCGACAUCCAAACAACAAUAAUCAGAUAUAACCUUUCGAAUGAAAGCAUGUUUGUUUUAGUCUGGUACCUGAGCUUCCUUAUUUGGUGCCGGCUACUUGUCAGCAUAUAGGAGGAGUCUCGAACAUUAGUGUAAAACUUGAAGCAGUUGAAACAAUAAAAAUGCUUUUGCGCAAACUGAGGCCAUCUUCAAUAGUGAAUGUUCUAUUCACGGAACAGUGCUAUUUCUCCAAAAGCUCUAAGAUGCGAGAGAACUCAUUACUUUGUUUAUUGUAUGCCCUGAUGAUAUUUCCCAGCACUGAAUUCAAUAUUCCUGAGUUGACAAAUGUUCUGAUUCAAUGUGGAAGCCAUGAACCAAAAGGAAAGUCAGGCAAGCUUUGUUGGACACUUUCGCUGUUCUUGGCCAGUUCUCUCCUCCGUUCUAUGUUAGUCCAAUUUUGGACACUGAUGAUAGUGAUCUAAGAUUCUUCAAGAAAGCAAUCCAAGCUCGUCUUGCAAGGAGGCAGCUACCAACGGUGUCACAGGAAGGACUCAUUCUAUACGCAUUACAAAUAACACCCACUUCCAAAGGUUAGUGUUUAUCCACAUAGCAGACAAAUUAAAACUUUAAUACCCCCAUAUGGAUCCUUCAUCAUUAAACAGUGCCUAUAAAUCUCAAGAGAAGAAAAAAACACUAAGAAGUGGCCCGAACUGUAUGUAACAAGGUGGAGAAAUAGUGC